This 264-nucleotide long non-coding RNA is filed under the name Prunus persica (peach). RNAcentral's name for it is "long non-coding RNA (PPER_LNC003061)". Lineage: Eukaryota; Viridiplantae; Streptophyta; Magnoliopsida; Rosales; Rosaceae. The record is from RNAcentral.
UUUGUCUUACAUUGCACCCACUUAUACUGUUCUCCACGUGUACUCUCUCUCUCUCUCUCUUCCAAGGUAAAUCAAUAACAUUGGACUAAAAAGGGAGAUACAAAAACACCAAGGAGAUCACAAGUCACUGGUAAGCAUAUUCUCCUUAAGCUUCCCCGACAAAUAUUAAACCAAGAAACAAGCACAAAGUUAUUUGAAGUUAAAGCAAUAAAAAAAUGAAAUUGUUAUCUUCACCAUAAUCACUAUCACUAAGCAAAUCCUAAU